This 267-nucleotide ribosomal RNA is filed under the name uncultured bacterium. RNAcentral's name for it is "partial 16S ribosomal RNA". It matches the Rfam family "Bacterial small subunit ribosomal RNA", at positions 793 to 1055 of the family's 1533-position model. The record is from RNAcentral.
GUCCACGCCGUAAACGAUGAGUGCUAGAUGUCGCUGGUAUUGACCCCGGCGGUAUCGCAGCUAACGCGUUAAGCACUCCGCCUGGGGAGUACGGCCGCAAGGCUAAAACUCAAAGGAAUUGACGGGGGCCCGCACAAGCGGUGGAGCAUGUGGUUCAAUUCGACGCAACGCGAAGAACCUUACCUGGGUUGGAACCCCCCGGAAGUCCGCAGAGAUGUGGAUGUGCCCGCAAGGUAACCGGGUGUCCAGGUGCUGCAUGGCUGUCGU